Molecule: ribosomal RNA, 443 nt
Filed under: uncultured bacterium
Lineage: Bacteria
Description: partial 16S ribosomal RNA
Rfam family: Bacterial small subunit ribosomal RNA
Source: RNAcentral
CCUACGGGAGGCUGCAGUGGGGAAUAUUGGGCAAUGGAGGCAACUCUGACCCAGCAAUGCCGCGUGAGUGAUGAAGGUAAUUUUAUUGUAAAGCUCUUUUCUUUGGAACGAAUAAAUGACGGUACCAAAGGAAUAAGCCCCGGCUAACUACGUGCCAGCAGCCGCGGUAAUACGUAGGGGGCAAGCGUUGUUCGGAAUGACUGGGCGUAAAGGGUGUGUAGGUGGUUUGAUAAGUUAGAUGUGUAAUACCCAGGGCUUAACUCGGGUGCUGCAUCUAAAACUGUUAGACUUGAGUAAUGGAGGGGGAACCGGAAUUCUCGGUGUAGCAGUGAAAUGCGUAGAUAUCGAGAGGAACACUCGUGGCGAAGGCGGGUUCCUGGACAUUAACUGACGCUGAGGCACGAAGGCCAGGGGAGCGAAAGGGAUUAGAUACCCCAGUAGUC